This 74-nucleotide transfer RNA is filed under the name Anaerolineales bacterium. Its description in RNAcentral is "tRNA-Arg". RNAcentral also lists the same sequence under 1 other name. The record is from RNAcentral. Lineage: Bacteria; Bacillati; Chloroflexota; Anaerolineae; Anaerolineales.
GUAGAGCCUGACCUUGCCCGGAAGCGCGCUUCGUUCCGGUCGAAGAGAUCGUGGGUUCAAAUCCCGCAUCUCCG